RNAcentral lists this ribosomal RNA (159 nucleotides) under uncultured bacterium. Its description in RNAcentral is "partial 16S ribosomal RNA". It matches the Rfam family "Bacterial small subunit ribosomal RNA", at positions 329 to 505 of the family's 1533-position model. The record is from RNAcentral.
GCCCAGACUCCUACGGGAGGCAGCAGUGGGGAAUAUUGGACAAUGGGGGCAACCCUGAUCCAGCCAUGCCGCGUGAGUGAUGACGGCCUUAGGGUUGUAAAGCUCUUUUACCCGGGACGAUAAUGACGGUACCGGGUGAAUAAGCCCCGGCUAACUUCG